UAAGACAAAUCUUUUCCAGACCAGCAGUGGUUGAAUUAUUAAAGCUUUAAUCUUUUAAAAUCCCUGAAUAAGCAGAUUUCUAUAGGUGUGAUGGCUGGACCCACUGGCUUUGCUAAGAUUACUAACAUGUUUGAAACCAAAUCCUUUUGUAAGAGUUUCACUGGACUUAAUCUAGGAGCUGGCAGAAGGGAUGGAUGGCAGGAAUUUUGGUUUCCAAUCCUUCCAGGUUAUGGCUGCUCACAACCCCAGAGGAAGUUGUGGGCAGGAGGAAGAGGGACUCCAUGCAGCUGGGAUGCCCCAAAGCCAGUUUUUCUCUCGAAAGAAGAAACUCUGCCAAGUCCACAUGGCAGACAAGGUGUACCCAGGUGAGUCACAUAAAGAUGGUAGCAAAAGGAUGUAUUUCUGGUUUUGGAUCUGUGCCUUCAGCCCUCUGCAGUCUACAGUGAUCUCUGAUCUCUGGGCUUUGGCCAAGUUUUCUGUUGUUUUAUGGGACACCAUACAGCACCCACCCCUCCAUAGUCCAGAUGUAAUUAUGCCCCUCAGAAGUGGCAGGCUCUUCCCUCUGAUUUCUAUUAUAUCACUAAAAAGUGUGCACGCUUUCAUGUAAGCUUUGUGCAAAGUACAGAGACAAGGAUCUGUUGAGUGAGUAACCCAUGAGGGGAUCUUUUCUUUCAGACUCUGACACUCAUGGUAAGAAAACGCAGGACUCUCUUACUAACUCCUCUUUAUGAGGUUAGGGUUUUAGGUGGGAAUUUUUUCUGGUUGAUUUGAAGACACAUUGAUUCUUAUCAUAAGACGUAAGACUCUUUGUUGAGUGUUUACUUCCAAGCAAGACUGAAUCACAACGAUUUGCUGCUUGCAUGAAUAAAGAAGUGUUUUCAUGAGUGGAAUUACAUUGCCUAAGUUUUAGAUCAAAUGCCUAUGGACCUGGGAGUUUAAUUCCUAGGCAUGUUGGCCUGAUGCUAUGUGUAAGGCUAGUGAAAUUGGAGGAGAAAGGCUUGGAAAAGGAUCAGAAAGGCACAGAGAGAAAGCACACACAUGACAGAGGGAGAAGGAAGUAGAUGAAAAAUAGAUUUUGUAAAACAAAUCCUGCAGUGUUCAAAUGCUCUAGACCAAAAAAAAUGGAUGUACAGUAACUGGUCAGCCUCAUGGUCUUGUUAGUCAAGGGGCUCUGAGAGAGGGCAAGCAUCUGUCUUUGAGAAGAAGCUCCAGACAGAUCCACAUCAGCUUUCCAGUUUAGCUUGUUAGACUCCUGGCACUUCUGCUGUACUCUGGUGCAUUACUCAGCUUUUGUGCUGCCAGACUGAAAUGUCAAUGCAAGUAACUGUCAGCCUCCCAGAAGGUGAAAUGGAGAGCACCAUUCCCCUCUCCCUAGGAUUUGGGAGAAAAUGGCCCCUGUGUCUGGAAAGAAACCUCAUACUGACUUCACCGAAGAAAUCUGGAUGUCUUCUUCCUGCUUAAAAGGAGCAAAUAAGGAUGAAUGCAGAUGAAGUGGCCAGCAAAACUUCAAGCCAAGUCAGUUACAACAUAUCUGCAACCACAAGCCAAUUAGACCUGCCCUGGGGGUUUAAUACAGUGUGCGAGACAAUGUCAUUAUCUAAAAGUCUGAAGUGCUUUCUAGCCCAUGCAAAAAAAUAAAAUAAAUAAAAUAAAUAAAAUAAAAUAGAAAUUAACUGAAAACAAGGUAAAUAAUAAACAUGUUAUGCAAUAUAUUUUUGAGUAUGUAAUAUUCAUUUCUCCAGGGUACCUCAAAUCCAGGAUGAGACAAGACUGUAUUCAAACUCAGCUGACAGUAAAGCGUUUCUCAGAGGAACGGGAAUGCUUGGCAGAGCUUCUGGUUGUGAGCAGCUGUGCCCUGCCCCACUGAAACAGAUGCUGGUCCUGAAGUCUGAACCAGCUGCCCCUACAAGUCAGAGCAGCCAUAGGCUUGCUAUGCCAGCUUACUUAUCAGCUGGGGAAGUCCCAUAUGACCCAUAGAAAGGCAAGGCCUAGCAUUGUCUGGGUGUGCUUUGCUUUGUUUUUGUUUUCUUAUUCCUGAUGUGCUCUUCCAUGAGGAGGAUGGGUUGAGAAAAUUUGACUUUAAUCUGGCAUUACAGUUGGAUGUGGAAGGUGCUUCAACUCUACUCUGGUGGUACAAACGAAUUUCAGUGGACGCAAGUGAUUUGUCUGGCAAAAGUAAUUUUUAGCAAAUUCUUUGGUUUUCCAAAAACAAUAUCAAAACCCAGGCUGAAGUAAUAAUCAUAUUUUUUUUCUUCUGUUGUCUGUAUAUGUAAUGAGACUAUGCAGCUAAGAAAUGUAGCCUGUUCUGUACCAUAUGCCCUCAGUUCCUUAUGCCCUGCAGUGUAGUAGGUCAGUACAAUUUUUAGACAAGAUUAAAAUGCCGUUAGCUUUCCUCCUACAACCUACAGUCAGGGAUAAGAAUUUUUUUUCUCUUCCCACACACCUACCAAACCUGUGGGCAUCAUCCAAUCAUCAGAAAAUCAACGCACUUCUACCUUUGACUUCACUAGAAGCCAGAAUUCAUCAACAUGCCUGGAAGUUUCAUAUUUUACACCAAUUCACUAGACUUGAAAUAAACCAAAGCACAGGUGAUAUACGGAAGUUUCACACAUGUCCUGCCCAUGUCAGUCAACCUUCCCUGCUGUAAAAGCACACUGCAAAAAGAAACCAUGAGAUAGCUUAUACUCUGAGAGAGGACAGGACAAAAUACAGAACAAGAAGGGCAGCAGGCAGCAAUGUAGGGUAUUAGGAGAAGACGAGCAGGCCUGGAAAGUCUGGGAUCAGAGGGAUGGUGGGAUUAGAGAGCAGGCUAUGCCACGCACCUUUGUUUGUGUUACCUGCUUAAGAAUACGACCUCUGCCUAUCCAAAUUGCAGGAUUUUACUUUUCACAACAAACCUCGAGUUGUACAAGUGAUUUCUUAUACAGCACACUGAGCAACACCUAAUCAUUUUCCCUCACACAAGGCAGUUAAUGAUUGUUUAAUGUGUCUGGAGCAAUGAUGUCCCACGUUUGGCUUGCAGGUCUCUGAGGCUAUCCAGGAAGUUUAAUUGUGCAGUAUUCAGCAGCUGAGCUUUCCAUUAAAUUAAUGUUGGCAUCCUUUUUGUAUUCCCAUUUCUUUUUAUGUCCAAGAAUUCUUUGGAAAAUAAACAGCAUCUGAUUUUGCAGAUUAAAGCAAAACCUCACAAUCAUUAUUUCACAUCACAUUUUCUCAUGGAUGAAUAGAAAGGGAAACCUCCUUUGGCCUCUGAUAAAGAGAAGACAUAUCCCAGGGUUGACAUCCUAUGUAGAAAGAUAUUUCCCUAUGGAAUUGCAUGUUUCUGUACCAAAAAAAAAACAAUAGUGAGCAACACUUCUUGCUGGGUGGCAGAAGGGGCCCAGCAGCAUUCAGUUGUACACUGGGAGGAGAAAAAAGGCAGAGAAACCAGUGAUGAGGUAAUGAGGGUUUCCAUGCAGACCUCCUCAGACAGAGCACAGAGCUGUUGGCGGUGUCCGUCUCUUCUUGGUGAUCCCUCUCAGUCCCAGGUUACACUGAAGUGAUUUGCGGCACUUUUGCUGUGCCAAAUUGCUUUAACUGCAAUUUGGACAUCAUAUACUCUUGCUGUUAUUUGAAUUUCAUCCUAAACAAAUGAAAUCAGGUAAUUGACCUGAUAAUUGUCACCGGAGCAGCUGUGGGCAGGGGUAGCACUGCUUUGGGAUGCUUUGACUUUUUUGUGUGUACAAGUCCAUUAGUCAGAAACAUUAUUGGCGGUGUUUGUUAUUCUCAUUUUGAAAUUUCACAUUGAGUUUUGAAGAUAACAUAAUGCAGAAAAAUGCUUUUAAUGAUCAAUCUACAAGAGAGAAGGAACUGCUCUUCAGAAGAUCAGAGUGGAUAAUGCAAAUGCUCUCAGCACUCUCAGACAAAUUAGGGAGAGGCCAGAUGAGAGCUGAAAGAACAAUAAGAAAUUUAAAAUUGAAAAAUAUGGUAUGUUAGGAAAGAUUAAAGGAGGUAGGGGAGGGGACUUAGUCAAGGGCAAAGCUUUGUGAAGGAUACGUAAGAUCUGAAUGUUUAGAAGCAGCCAUAGGGUGGCAAUCAAUUUUCUUCAAGUCCAUCUAGGGAAGUGCAAACGUGCUCAUAUCUAAACAAUCUACAGCAAAGAUGAUAUACCCCACUUACAAGCAAAAUCUUUUGUUAUUUUUGUUUCUCUUUUUUAAAAAAGCAGGUCACUGAAGUGGUAGAACAGGUUGUAUAUAAAAAUCAUGAAACUUCUCAAAAUGUUUUCAAGACUCAGCUAAAUAAUCUUUUGCCAGAGAUGUCUUGUUAAAUUUAACCUUGUCUCAGUACAGGGGUUUGGACUAGAUGAACUUAAGCUGCAUAAAUAUUGACAAAAAGCAAGUGAUUGCCUCUCUGUUUUAAUAACCCAUCCUGUGCAGAAUGACCCAGGAACUACAGGAACCCAAUACAACUGAAAACAGACACUUGUUUGUGAACAACUGGACCAAAAAGAGUGGUUUGAUAGAGUUUUUAAAGGAAAUUAGCAGUAGGCUGCCAGAACUACUCUUUAUGUCUUUAUUUUCAAGAAUAGGUUCUUAGGAGGACUAAAGAGAAGUUGUUUGAGCAGUCAGGGAUCAGGCCAGGAAAGCUAAAAUCCAGAUGGAAUUAAAUCUAGCCAGGGACAUAAAGGGGAACAAGGAGAAAUUCUAAGGUAUAUCAGUGAUAAAAGGAAGGCCAGGGAAGAUGUGGGCCUUUUCCAGAAGGAAACUGGGGACACGGUCACAAGAGAUAGGAAGAAAGCUGAGGUGCUCAAUGACUUUUCUGCCUCAGUCUUCACCGGCAAGGGCUCUAGCCACACUGCCCAAGCUGCAGAAAGCAAAGGUAAGAACUGGGAGAAGAAAGAUCUGCCUGCUGUAAGUGAAGAUCAGAUUCGAGACCAUCUAAAGAACCUGAAGGUGCACAAGUUCAUGGGACCCAGUGAGAUUCAUCCAGGGUUCUGAGGGAACUGGCAGAUGAAGCUGCCAAGCUGCUAUCCAAUCAUAUUUAAAAGGUCGUGGCAGUCUGAUGAAGUUCCCACUGACUAGAAAGGGGGAAACAUAACCUCAAUUCUCAAGAAAGCAAAAAGAGAAGAUCCAGGAAACUACAGAUCAGUCAGUCUCACCUCUGUGCCUGGCAAGAUCAUGGAGCAUGGAUCCUCCUGAAGGCCCUACUAAAACACAUGAAAAAUAAGGAUGAAAUGAUAGAUGGUAAUCAACAUGGCUUCACCAAGAGCAAUUUGUGAUUGACAAAGUUCGUGAUCUUUUAUGAUGGAGUUACAAUGUCAGUGGAUAAAAGAAGAGCAAGUGAUGUCAUCUACCUGGACUUGUGCAAAGCAUUUGACACUGUCCCACACGACAUGCUAGUAGCUAAAUUGGAGAAAAAUUGAUCUGAUGGAUGGGCCACUUCCUGGAUAAGGAAUUGGCUGGAUGGUUGCAUUCAGAGAGCUGUGGUAAACAGCUCAGUGUCCAAAUGGAGACCUGUGAUGAGUGAUGUUCCUCAGGGAUUGGUGCUGGGACCAGAUUUAACAUCUUUGUAGGUGACAUGGACAGUGGAAUCAAGUGCACUCUCAGUAAGUUUACAGAUGA
Long non-coding RNA from Meleagris gallopavo (turkey), 5597 nucleotides. RefSeq lists it as uncharacterized. The record is from RefSeq and is a predicted model, not a curated record. Lineage: Eukaryota; Metazoa; Chordata; Aves; Galliformes; Phasianidae.